RNAcentral lists this ribosomal RNA (587 nucleotides) under uncultured bacterium. RNAcentral describes it as "bacterial SSU rRNA". It matches the Rfam family "Bacterial small subunit ribosomal RNA", at positions 102 to 685 of the family's 1533-position model. The record is from RNAcentral.
ACGGGUGAGUAACACAUCGGAACGUGCCCUAUCGUGGGGGAUAACGAAUCGAAAGAUUCGCUAAUACCGCAUACGACCUGAGGGUGAAAGCGGGGGAUCGCAAGACCUCGCGCGAUUGGAGCGACCGAUGUCGGAUUAGCUAGUUGGUGAGGUAAAGGCUCACCAAGGCGACGAUCCGUAGCUGGUCUGAGAGGACGACCAGCCACACUGGGACUGAGACACGGCCCAGACUCCUACGGGAGGCAGCAGUGGGGAAUUUUGGACAAUGGGGGCAACCCUGAUCCAGCCAUUCCGCGUGAGUGAAGAAGGCCUUCGGGUUGUAAAGCUCUUUCGGCAGGAACGAAACGGUGGAGGCUAAUACCUUUCAUCAAUGACGGUACCUGAAGAAGAAGCACCGGCUAACUACGUGCCAGCAGCCGCGGUAAUACGUAGGGUGCGAGCGUUAAUCGGAAUUACUGGGCGUAAAGCGUGCGCAGGCGGCUUUGUAAGACAGGUGUGAAAUCCCCGGGCUUAACCUGGGAACUGCGCUUGUGACUGCAAGGCUUGAGUGUGGCAGAGGGGGGUGGAAUUCCACGUGUAGCAGUGAA